Molecule: ribosomal RNA, 497 nt
Filed under: uncultured bacterium
Lineage: Bacteria
Description: partial 16S ribosomal RNA
Rfam family: Bacterial small subunit ribosomal RNA
Source: RNAcentral
GAUGAACGCUGGCGGCGUGCCUAAUACAUGCAAGUCGAGCGAACGGACGAGAAGCUUGCUUCUCUGAUGUUAGCGGCGGACGGGUGAGUAACACGUGGAUAACCUACCUAUAAGACUGGGAUAACUUCGGGAAACCGGAGCUAAUACCGGAUAAUAUUUUGAACCGCAUGGUUCAAAAGUGAAAGACGGUCUUGCUGUCACUUAUAGAUGGAUCCGCGCUGCAUUAGCUAGUUGGUAAGGUAACGGCUUACCAAGGCAACGAUGCAUAGCCGACCUGAGAGGGUGAUCGGCCACACUGGAACGGAGACACGGUCCAGACUCCUACGGGAGGCAGCAGUAGGGAAUCUUCCGCAAUGGGCGAAAGCCUGUCGGAGCAACGCCGCGUGAGUGAUGAAGGUCUUCGGAUCGUAAAACUCUGUUAUUAGGGAAGAACAUAUGUGUAAGUAACUGUGCACAUCUUGACGGUACCUAAUCAGAAAGCCACGGCUAACUACGUG